This 283-nucleotide unclassified non-coding RNA is filed under the name Hevea brasiliensis (rubber tree). The record is from RNAcentral. Lineage: Eukaryota; Viridiplantae; Streptophyta; Magnoliopsida; Malpighiales; Euphorbiaceae.
CAACUCUCCACCACCACCAUUAUUACAUGUGCGAUUUUCUACGUGUCGCAACAACUCCACUUUCAACCAAACUCACCAAAAUCAUCCCCAGGCUCUGAUACCAAUUUAUUGUGUACCGCAGAAGCGUGUAAACUGUAAAGAAAUAAAGCAAACACACAAAAUACUAAUAUUUACGUGGUUCACCCUCUCAACAUAGGGCUACAUCCAUGGGUAUGCCAUCUUCCACUAUCAAUAAUAAAUAAAUCAUUAUUACAAGCUCAUAGCUAUACUACCCAUCAACCCA